Molecule: unclassified non-coding RNA, 225 nt
Filed under: Hevea brasiliensis (rubber tree)
Lineage: Eukaryota; Viridiplantae; Streptophyta; Magnoliopsida; Malpighiales; Euphorbiaceae
Source: RNAcentral
CCCUUCUCCUUCGCAACCUCCCAUGCGGCUUGCUCCGCCACAGCUUUUCCAUAGCAAUACCAAUUCUUUGUGUUCUUACAGAACUCGAGAUCGCUCCAACAGGACUCGUCGACGAUGUCGUCUGGACCACGGUUGGGGUCCAUGUAGACUGCACCAAUCGAGGAAGUGAACACCACGCGACGGACAUUGGCUUCGGCUGCCGCGAUUAUGACGUUCUUCGUUCCG